RNAcentral lists this ribosomal RNA (84 nucleotides) under Caerostris extrusa. The record is from RNAcentral. Lineage: Eukaryota; Metazoa; Arthropoda; Arachnida; Araneae; Araneidae.
AACGGCCAUACCAUGCUGAAUAUACCGGUUCUCGUUAGAUCACCGAAGUCAAGCAUUAUUGGGCGCGGUCAGUACUUUGCUGUG